AAAGUCGUAACAAGGUUUCCGUAGGUGAACCUGCGGAAGGAUCAUUACCGAUUUUAGCGGACCUGAUCUCUGAUCAUGGUCUCGCGAAAACAUUGUAUUUAAAACCCCACCCUUAUAAAUUGAAUCAUUUUAUAUUGUAUAUAAAUAAAUAAAGAUCACUUUCAACAACGGAUCUCUUGGCUCUC
This 185-nucleotide unclassified non-coding RNA is filed under the name Glomeromycotina sp. Its description in RNAcentral is "partial contains small subunit ribosomal RNA, internal transcribed spacer 1, and 5.8S ribosomal RNA". The stretch from base 1 to 47 matches the Rfam family "Eukaryotic small subunit ribosomal RNA", at positions 1785 to 1831 of the family's 1831-position model. The record is from RNAcentral. Lineage: Eukaryota; Fungi; Glomeromycota.